UACAGAGGUGGCAAGCGUUGUUCGGAAUUACUGGGCGUAAAGGGCGCGUAGGCGGUCUUCUAAGUCUUGUGUGAAAUCCCUCGGCUCAACUGAGGAACUGCACGGGAAACUGCUUGGCUUGAGUUCGGGAGAGGGAAGCGGAAUUCCGGGUGUAGCGGUGAAAUGCGUAGAUAUCCGGAGGAACACCGGUGGCGAAGGCGGCUCACUGGCCCGGAACUGACGCUGAGGUGCGAAAGCGUGGGGAGCAAACAGG
This 253-nucleotide ribosomal RNA is filed under the name uncultured bacterium. RNAcentral describes it as "partial 16S ribosomal RNA". It matches the Rfam family "Bacterial small subunit ribosomal RNA", at positions 524 to 776 of the family's 1533-position model. The record is from RNAcentral.